RNAcentral lists this ribosomal RNA (1069 nucleotides) under uncultured marine bacterium. RNAcentral's name for it is "bacterial SSU rRNA". It matches the Rfam family "Bacterial small subunit ribosomal RNA", at positions 27 to 1154 of the family's 1533-position model. The record is from RNAcentral.
GGAUGAACGCUGGCGACGUGGAUAAGGCAUGCAAGUCGAACGAGGCCUAGAGCCGAGUGGCAGACGAGGUAGUAACACGUGGGAACCAACCCUUAAGUCAGGAAUAACUACAGGAAACUGUAGCUAAUACUUGAUAGUCUCUUCGGAGUAAAGUUUUAACGCUUAAGGAUGGGCCUGCGGGGUAUCAGCUUGUUGGUAGUGUAAUGGACUACCAAGGCAAUGACGCCUAGGGGAGGUGAGAGCCUGACCCCCACCGAUGGAACUGAGACACGGUCCAUACACCUACGGGUGGCCGCAGUCGAGAAUCUUCCGCAAUGGACGAAAGUCUGACGGAGCGACGUCGCGUGGUUGAUGAAGCACUUCGGUGUGUAAAAACCUUUUAUGAGGGAGGAAGUUUAUUGACGUUACCUCAUGAAUAAGGGGCUCCUAAACUCGUGCCAGCAGGAGCGGUAAUACGAGUGCCCCAAGCGUUAUCCGGAAUCACUGGGCGUAAAGAGUCUGUAGGCGGUUGUAUUAGUCUUUUGUUAAAUCCUUGGGCUUAACCCAAGAACCGCAAAGGAAACGGUGCAACUAGAGAGUGUGAGAGGUGAAUGGAACUCACGGUGUAGGGGUGAAAUCCGUUGAUAUCGUGGGGAACACCAAAUGCGAAGGCAAUUCACUGGCACAUUUCUGACGCUGAGAGACGAAACCCUGGGUAGCGAAUGGGAUUAGAUACCCCAGUAGUCCAGGGCGUAAACGUUGUCCGCUAGCUUUUUGGAGUAUCGACCCUCUGAGAGGCGAAGCUAACGCGAUAAGCGGACCGCCUGGGUAGUACGAGCGCAAGCUUAAAACUCAAAGGAAUAGACGGGGGCUCGCACAAGCGGUGGAUUAUGUGGUUUAAUUCGAUGAUAAGCGAAGAACCUCACCGAGGCUAGAAACUUAGUCGACGAUUUUCCGAAAGGAAAAUUUUCUUCGGACGGCUAAGCAGGUGUUGCAUGGUUGUCGUCAGUUCGUGGCUUGAGCUGUUCCCUUAAGUGGGCAAACGAACGCAACCCUCGUUAUCUGUUACAAGUGUCAGGUAAGACUGCCC